GAGUCAUUGGGAUUCUGUUAAACCUAAAGGCGCAAUGAAAGUAAAGGUCCGCCUCGCGCGGACCUAGGGAGGAUGGGCCCGUCCACGGGCGGGCCCCGCACUCCCGGGGCGUCUCGUUCUCAUCGCGAGAAGAGGCGCACCCAGAGCGUACACGCUGGGACCCGAAAGAUGGUGAACUAUGCCUGGUCAGGACGAAGUCAGGGGAAACCCUGAUGGAGGUCCGUAGCGAUUCUGACGUGCAAAUCGAUCGUCGGAACUGGGUAUAGG
Molecule: ribosomal RNA, 267 nt
Filed under: Arachnodes globuloides
Lineage: Eukaryota; Metazoa; Arthropoda; Insecta; Coleoptera; Scarabaeidae
Also listed under: 1 other name
Description: partial 28S ribosomal RNA
Rfam family: Eukaryotic large subunit ribosomal RNA
Source: RNAcentral